Non-coding RNA from Rattus norvegicus (Norway rat), 312 nucleotides. The record is from RefSeq and is a predicted model, not a curated record. Lineage: Eukaryota; Metazoa; Chordata; Mammalia; Rodentia; Muridae.
GCUAGUAGCCUGCCCCGAUAGGACUUCCCAGGAGGAGAAACUUCCAGAAGACAAGAAAGAAGGACGCUGUCUCCUUGCUGGAAUGUUCUUUCUGAGCUUGGGUCACUGUAGCGAGAGGCCAUCGUGUGUUUCUGGUUUCAUUUCUUUGAUCCUGACGGUGGUGAGCUGCAGACAGGAUAAGAGGAAAAUGGUACUCCCUUAAUUCAAUGACAGCAGCUCUGGAUUUUACAGUCUGCAUCCUCAAUAAAGUCCUCUUGAUAAAAAAAUCCAGCUAGCCAAAUAAAGCAACUGUGAUGAGAAUUUAACAAAAAA